RNAcentral lists this ribosomal RNA (639 nucleotides) under uncultured Actinomycetes bacterium. RNAcentral describes it as "bacterial SSU rRNA". It matches the Rfam family "Bacterial small subunit ribosomal RNA", at positions 232 to 885 of the family's 1533-position model. The record is from RNAcentral. Lineage: Bacteria; Bacillati; Actinomycetota; Actinomycetes.
CGCGGCCUAUCAGCUUGUUGGUGAGGUAACGGCUCACCAAGGCAUCGACGGGUAGCUGGUCUGAGAGGACGGACAGCCACACUGGGACUGAGACACGGCCCAGACUCCUACGGGAGGCAGCAGUAGGGGAUCUUGCGCAAUGGGCGAAAGCCUGACGCAGCUACGCCGCGUGAGGGAUGAAGGCUCUCGGGUUGUAAACCUCUUUCAGCAGGGACGAAAAUGACGGUACCUGCAGAAGAAGCUCCGGCCAACUACGUGCCAGCAGCCGCGGUAACACGUAGGGAGCGAGCGUUGUCCGGAUUUAUUGGGCGUAAAGAGCUCGUAGGCUGUUCCGUAAGUCAGGUGUGAAAGUCCAAGGCUCAACCUUGGAACGCCACUUGAUACUGCGGUGACUAGAGUCCGGUAGAGGAGUGUGGAAUUUCUGGUGUAGCGGUGAAAUGCGCAGAUAUCAGAAGGAACACCGACAGCGAAGGCAGCACUCUGGGCCGGUACUGACGCUGAGGAGCGAAAGCAUGGGGAGCAAACAGGAUUAGAUACCCUGGUAGUCCAUGCCGUAAACGUUGGACACUAGGUGUGGGGCCUUAUCAACGGGUUCCGUGCCGUAGCUAACGCAUUAAGUGCCCCGCCUGGGGAGUACGG